GCCUGCACUGUUGUGCUGUACUUUAACUGCAGAAGGAGAUUGCAUUGCAGUCUAUCCAUCCACAAGGCGUCCGAGGGCACACGGCUGGGUUGCAUCCCGGACGGGCUGCCUAACGCCGAAUAACACAGGAUUACGAAAUGUGCACGAGAACAAAAGGAGCGGUUGCAAAAGAAUGUAGACGGUCACUGUGAUAUUCAACAUUAA
Paramormyrops kingsleyae is the source of this 204-nucleotide non-coding RNA. The record is from RefSeq and is a predicted model, not a curated record. Lineage: Eukaryota; Metazoa; Chordata; Actinopteri; Osteoglossiformes; Mormyridae.